UACGUAGGGGGCAAGCGUUGUCCGGAAUUAUUGGGCGUAAAGCGCGCGCAGGCGGUAAUUUAAGUUUGGGGUCUAAGCCCGAGGCUCAACCUCGGAUCGCCCUGAAAACUGGGUCACUGGAGUGCAGGAGAGGAAAGCGGAAUUCCACGUGUAGCGGUGAAAUGCGUAGAGAUGUGGAGGAACACCAGUGGCGAAGGCGGCUUUCUGGCCUGUAACAGACGCUGAGGCGCGAAAGUGUGGGGAGCGAACAGG
Molecule: ribosomal RNA, 252 nt
Filed under: uncultured bacterium
Lineage: Bacteria
Description: partial 16S ribosomal RNA
Rfam family: Bacterial small subunit ribosomal RNA
Source: RNAcentral